RNAcentral lists this ribosomal RNA (402 nucleotides) under uncultured Adlercreutzia sp. Its description in RNAcentral is "bacterial SSU rRNA". It matches the Rfam family "Bacterial small subunit ribosomal RNA", at positions 355 to 774 of the family's 1533-position model. The record is from RNAcentral. Lineage: Bacteria; Bacillati; Actinomycetota; Coriobacteriia; Eggerthellales; Eggerthellaceae.
UGGGGAAUAUUGCGCAAUGGGGGAAACCCUGACGCAGCAACGCCGCGUGCGGGAUGACGGCCUUCGGGUUGUAAACCGCUUUCAGCAGGGAAGAACAUCGACGGUACCUGCAGAAGAAGCCCCGGCUAACUACGUGCCAGCAGCCGCGGUAAUACGUAGGGGGCGAGCGUUAUCCGGAUUCAUUGGGCGUAAAGCGCGCGUAGGCGGGUGCCUAAGCGGGACCUCUAACCUCGGGGCUCAACCCCGAGCCGGGUCCCGAACUGGGCGCCUCGAGUGCGGUAGGGGAGAUCGGAAUUCCCGGUGUAGCGGUGGAAUGCGCAGAUAUCGGGAAGAACACCGAUGGCGAAGGCAGAUCUCUGGGCCGCCACUGACGCUGAGGCGCGAAAGCUAGGGGAGCGAACA